Molecule: transfer RNA, 72 nt
Filed under: Harveyella mirabilis
Lineage: Eukaryota; Rhodophyta; Florideophyceae; Gigartinales; Choreocolacaceae
Description: tRNA-Gln
Rfam family: tRNA
About the family: Transfer RNA (tRNA) molecules are approximately 80 nucleotides in length.
Source: RNAcentral
UGGGGUAUAGCUAAGUGGUAAGGCAACGGACUUUGACUCCGCUAUUCGAAGGUUCAAAUCCUUCUACCCCAG